CCUACGGGCGGCUGCAGUGGGGAAUCUUGGACAAUGGGCGCAAGCCUGAUCCAGCCAUGCCGCGUGAGUGAAGAAGGCCUUAGGGUUGUAAAGCUCUUUUGGCAGGGACGAUAAUGACGGUACCUGCAGAAUAAGCCCCGGCAAACUUCGUGCCAGCAGCCGCGGUAAUACGAAGGGGGCUAGCGUUGUUCGGAUUUACUGGGCGUAAAGCGCACGUAGGCGGAUUGUUAAGUCAGGGGUGAAAUCCCGGAGCUCAACUCCGGAACUGCCUUUGAUACUGGCAAUCUUGAGGCUGGAAGAGGUUGGUAGAAUUCCCAGUGUAGAGGUGAAAUUCGUAGAUAUUGGGAAGAAUACCAGUGGCGAAGGCGGCCAACUGGUCCAGAUCUGACGCUGAGGUGCGAAAGCGUGGGGAGCAAACAGGAUUAGAUACCCUAGUAGUC
Molecule: ribosomal RNA, 440 nt
Filed under: uncultured bacterium
Lineage: Bacteria
Description: partial 16S ribosomal RNA
Rfam family: Bacterial small subunit ribosomal RNA
Source: RNAcentral